This is a non-coding RNA of Tetranychus urticae (two-spotted spider mite), 476 nucleotides long. Lineage: Eukaryota; Metazoa; Arthropoda; Arachnida; Trombidiformes; Tetranychidae. The record is from RefSeq and is a predicted model, not a curated record.
UCUUGAUAUUGAAUAUGAUUUUCACAUUUGUGUCUAUUUUGUUUUGAAUUAGUGUUAAUUUAAUGUUAAUUUAAUGUGAAUUUACUAUUAUUUUGGACAUAUUUACACCGUGAUCAAAGGCCUCUUGAUUCUAGGUGAGGCAUCAGCUUCAGCCAACGCAGCCGGAACAGCGGUUAAUGGUUAUGGCGCAGGUAAUGGCGGCCAAAGUGGGUAUGGCCAGGGUGGGGCAGAAGAGGCAGCCGCAGCCGUAGUCGCAGCCGGAGGCUAUGGUCAAGGCGGGUAUGGUUCAAGCGGUGGUGUUGACCUGUAUUCUAGGUAGCUGUGGCAGCCGGAUCAGCAACACUCGCAGCAAACAAAGAAUUAGUAGCUUGUAAAUCAGCUCAGUAAAGUUUAAUAUAGCAGAUAAAUCAGAAGUUGUAUCAUUUGAAUCAAGUCCUUAAAAAAUGAAAAAUGACUAUUAAAUGUAAAUCUUGCAA